RNAcentral lists this ribosomal RNA (265 nucleotides) under uncultured Streptococcaceae bacterium. RNAcentral's name for it is "partial 16S ribosomal RNA". It matches the Rfam family "Bacterial small subunit ribosomal RNA", at positions 505 to 770 of the family's 1533-position model. Lineage: Bacteria; Bacillati; Bacillota; Bacilli; Lactobacillales; Streptococcaceae. The record is from RNAcentral.
GUGCCAGCAGCCGCGGUAAUACGUAGGUCCCGAGCGUUGUCCGGAUUUAUUGGGCGUAAAGCGAGCGCAGGCGGUUUGAUAAGUCUGAAGUUAAAGGCUGUGGCUCAACCAUAGUUCGCUUUGGAAACUGUCAAACUUGAGUGCAGAAGGGGAGAGUGGAAUUCCAUGUGUAGCGGUGAAAUGCGUAGAUAUAUGGAGGAACACCGGUGGCGAAAGCGGCUCUCUGGUCUGUAACUGACGCUGAGGCUCGAAAGCGUGGGGAGCG